Molecule: long non-coding RNA, 299 nt
Organism: Rhinopithecus roxellana (golden snub-nosed monkey)
Lineage: Eukaryota; Metazoa; Chordata; Mammalia; Primates; Cercopithecidae
Exons: 3
Source: RefSeq, a predicted model, not a curated record
CUCUCAUGAAAGUGACCUUGUGGGGAAGCUGAGUGGUAACCCAAGAAAUAACGAGGAAAUAAAAAGUGGGAUUGAAAUGUGCAGCCUGACCUGCGAGGAAAAUGACCACCCCGGUUUUAAUUAAGGAAGAGCAGAGAGAGAGAUUUCUUCAUGCUUAUUUAAUUAUGUUGAAAUGUUAUCCCACAAACCCACUCCCGCACAGCCAUGAGAGAAAAGCAAAAGCAAGAAUAAACUCUUGAUUCCUUCAACUCCAAAGGUGACACCAGUAGCCAACAAGGACAUCCUCCACUGUGAGUGCC